UAAUAAGUGUUUAUGGCACUUUUUAAAUCCAUAUCCACCUUGUGUGCAAUGUCAAGUCUCUGUCAGUUUCGACCGACGAGAUUUUUAUACAUCAACUCAUUAUUUGAACCAAUUUGUCUGAAAAAUAUUAUGAAUACUUAAUUCAAAUA
RNAcentral lists this unclassified non-coding RNA (149 nucleotides) under uncultured Mortierellales. RNAcentral's name for it is "sequence contains ITS1". Lineage: Eukaryota; Fungi; Mortierellomycota; Mortierellomycetes; Mortierellales. The record is from RNAcentral.